UACGGAGGGUGCGAGCGUUAAUCGGAAUUACUGUGCGUAAAGCGCGCGUAGGCGGUUUUUUAAGUCGGAUGUGAAAGCCCCGGGCUCAACCUGGGAACUGCAUCCGAUACUGGAAGACUAGAAUGCGGGAGAGGGAGGUAGAAUUCCAUGUGUAGCAGUGAAAUGCGUAGAUAUAUGGAGGAAUACCAGUGGCGAAGGCGGCCUCCUGGCUCGACAUUGACGCUGAGGUGCGAAAGCGUGGGGAGCAAACGGG
This 253-nucleotide ribosomal RNA is filed under the name uncultured bacterium. RNAcentral describes it as "partial 16S ribosomal RNA". It matches the Rfam family "Bacterial small subunit ribosomal RNA", at positions 524 to 776 of the family's 1533-position model. The record is from RNAcentral.